AACAGGAUUAGAUACCCUGGUAGUCCACGCCCUAAACGAUGUCUACUAGUUGUCGGGUCUUAAUUGACUUGGUAACGCAGCUAACGCGUGAAGUAGACCGCCUGGGGAGUACGGUCGCAAGAUUAAAACUCAAAGGAAUUGACGGGGACCCGCACAAGCGGUGGAUGAUGUGGAUUGAUUCGAUGCAACGCGAAAAACCUUACCUACCCUUGACAUGGCUGGAAUCCUUGAGAGAUCAGGGAGUGCUCGAAAGAGAACCAGUACACAGGUGCUGCAUGGCUGUCGUCAGCUCGUGUCGUGAGAUGUUGGGUUAAGUCCCGCAACGAGCGCAACCCUUGUCAUUAGUUGCUACGAAAGGGCACUCUAAUGAGACUGCCGGUGACAAACCGGAGGAAGGUGGGGAUGACGUCAAGUCCUCAUGGCCCUUAUGGGUAGGGCUUCACACGUCAUACAAUGGUACAUACAGAGCGCCGCCAACCCGCGAGGGGGAGCUAAUCGCAGAAAGUGUAUCGUAGUCCGGAUUGUAGUCUGCAACUCGACUGCAUGAAGUUGGAAUCGCUAGUAAUCGCGGAUCAGCAUGUCGCGGUGAAUACGUUCCCGGGUCUUGUACACACCGCCCGUCACACCAUGGGAGCGGGUUUUACCAGAAGUAGGUAGCUUAACCGUAAGGAGGGCGCUUACCACGGUAGGAUUCGUGACUGGGGUGAAGUCGUAACAAGGUAACC
RNAcentral lists this ribosomal RNA (725 nucleotides) under uncultured bacterium. RNAcentral describes it as "bacterial SSU rRNA". It matches the Rfam family "Bacterial small subunit ribosomal RNA", at positions 771 to 1501 of the family's 1533-position model. The record is from RNAcentral.